Molecule: ribosomal RNA, 468 nt
Filed under: uncultured bacterium
Lineage: Bacteria
Description: partial 16S ribosomal RNA
Rfam family: Bacterial small subunit ribosomal RNA
Source: RNAcentral
GACGAACGCUGGCGGCGUGCUUAACACAUGCAAGUCGAACGGAAAGGCCCUGCUUUUGUGGGGUGCUCGAGUGGCGAACGGGUGAGUAACACGUGAGUAACCUGCCCUUGACUUUGGGAUAACUUCAGGAAACUGGGGCUAAUACCGGAUAGGAGCUCCUGCUGCAUGGUGGGGGUUGGAAAGUUUCGGCGGUUGGGGAUGGACUCGCGGCUUAUCAGCUUGUUGGUGGGGUAGUGGCUUACCAAGGCUUUGACGGGUAGCCGGCCUGAGAGGGUGACCGGCCACAUUGGGACUGAGAUACGGCCCAGACUGCUACGGGAGGCAGCAGUGGGGAAUAUUGCACAGUGGGCGGGAGCCUGAUGCAGCAGCGCCGCGUGCGGGAUGACGGCCUUCGGGUUGUAAACCGCUUUCGCCUGUGGCGAAGCGUGAGUGACGGUAAUGGGUAAAGAAGCACCGGCUAACUACGUG